Molecule: microRNA precursor, 106 nt
Filed under: Poecilia formosa (Amazon molly)
Lineage: Eukaryota; Metazoa; Chordata; Actinopteri; Cyprinodontiformes; Poeciliidae
Description: miRNA (ENSPFOG00000021296.1)
Rfam family: mir-17 microRNA precursor family (bases 17-97)
About the family: This family represents the microRNA (miRNA) precursor mir-17, family, which includes mir-20, mir-91, and mir-103. miRNAs are transcribed as ~70nt precursors (modelled here) and subsequently processed by the Dicer enzyme to give a ~22nt product.
Source: RNAcentral
UCCUCUGACCACAGUUUCUGCAGUACUAAAGUGCUUAUAGUGCAGGUAGUGUUUGUCCCCAUAUCUACUGCAAUGUAAGCACUUGAAGUAUUUCCAACUGUAUAUU